Molecule: transfer RNA, 72 nt
Filed under: Camelus bactrianus (Bactrian camel)
Lineage: Eukaryota; Metazoa; Chordata; Mammalia; Artiodactyla; Camelidae
Also listed under: 2 other names
Rfam family: tRNA
About the family: Transfer RNA (tRNA) molecules are approximately 80 nucleotides in length.
Source: Rfam by way of RNAcentral
AGGGUAAUAGCUCAGUGGUAAAGUGCAUGCUUAGCAUGCAUGAGGUCCUGGGUUCAAUCCCCAGUUCCCCCA